Molecule: ribosomal RNA, 460 nt
Filed under: uncultured bacterium
Lineage: Bacteria
Description: partial 16S ribosomal RNA
Rfam family: Bacterial small subunit ribosomal RNA
Source: RNAcentral
CCUACGGGGGACUGCAGUGAGGAAUAUUGGUCAAUGGGCGAGAGCCUGAACCAGCCAAGUCGCGUGAAGGAUGACGGCCCUACGGGUUGUAAACUUCUUUUGUCAGGGAGCAAUUGGGUCCACGCGUGGGCUUAGCGAGAGUACCUGAAGAAAAAGCAUCGGCUAACUCCGUGCCAGCAGCCGCGGUAAUACGGGGGAUGCGAGCGUUAUCCGGCUUUAUUGGGUUAAAGGGGUGCGUAGGCGGAAUAUCAAGUCAGCGGUAAAAAUUCGGGGCUCAACCCCGUCGUGCCGUUGAAACUGAUGUUCUGGAGUGAGCGAGAGGUAUGCGGAAUGCGUGGUGUAGCGGUGAAAUGCAUAGAUAUCACGCAGAACUCCGAUUGCGAAGGCAGCAUACCGGAGCCCAACUGACGCUGAAGCACGAAAGCGUGGGUAUCGAACAGGAUUAGAUACCCUAGUAGUC